GACGAACGCUGGCGGCGUGCCUAAUACAUGCAAGUUGAGCGCUGAAGGUUGGUACUUGUACCAACUGGAUGAGCAGCGAACGGGUGAGUAACGCGUGGGGAAUCUGCCUUUGAGCGGGGGACAACAUUUGGAAACGAAUGCUAAUACCGCAUAAAAACUUUAAACACAAGUUUUAAGUUUGAAAGAUGCAAUUACAUCACUCAAAGAUGAUCCCGCGUUGUAUUAGCUAGUUGGUGAGGUAAAGGCUCACCAAGGCGAUGAUACAUAGCCGACCUGAGAGGGUGAUCGGCCACAUUGGGACUGAGACACGGCCCAAACUCCUACGGGAGGCAGCAGUAGGGAAUCUUCGGCAAUGGACGAAAGUCUGACCGAGCAACGCCGCGUGAGUGAAGAAGGUUUUCGGAUCAUAAAACUCUGUUGGUAGAGAAGAACGUUGGUGAGAGUGGAAAGCUCAUCAAGUGACGGUAACUACCCAGAAAGGGACGGCUAACUACGUG
RNAcentral lists this ribosomal RNA (497 nucleotides) under uncultured bacterium. RNAcentral's name for it is "partial 16S ribosomal RNA". It matches the Rfam family "Bacterial small subunit ribosomal RNA", at positions 28 to 507 of the family's 1533-position model. The record is from RNAcentral.